AACGAACGCUGGCGGCAGGCUUAACACAUGCAAGUCGAGCGCCCCGCAAGGGGAGCGGCAGACGGGUGAGUAACGCGUGGGAACAUACCCUUUCCUGCGGAAUAGCUCCGGGAAACUGGAAUUAAUACCGCAUACGCCCUACGGGGGAAAGAUUUAUCGGGGAAGGAUUGGCCCGCGUUGGAUUAGCUAGUUGGUGGGGUAAAGGCCUACCAAGGCGGCGAUCCAUAGCUGGUCUGAGAGGAUGAUCAGCCACAUUUGGACUGAGACACGGCCCAAACUCCUACGGGAGGCAGCAGUGGGGAAUAUUGGACAAUGGGCGCAAGCCUGAUCCAGCCAUGCCGCGUGAGUGAUGAAGGCCUUAGGGUUGUAAAGCUCUUUCACCGGAGAAGAUAAUGACGGUAUCCGGAGAAGAAGCCCCGGCUAACUUCGUGCCAGCCGCCGCCGUAA
Molecule: ribosomal RNA, 447 nt
Filed under: uncultured bacterium
Lineage: Bacteria
Description: partial 16S ribosomal RNA
Rfam family: Bacterial small subunit ribosomal RNA
Source: RNAcentral